RNAcentral lists this long non-coding RNA (4942 nucleotides) under Homo sapiens (human). RNAcentral describes it as "long non-coding RNA NONHSAT114467.2". Lineage: Eukaryota; Metazoa; Chordata; Mammalia; Primates; Hominidae. The record is from RNAcentral.
CGGAAGGGGCGGCGGAGCACCGAUCUCAUGGAUGGGCUCCGAGGGGCUUGCGGGAGGGGGGCGCCAGUGUUCGGGGCCGUUUUGGCGGCUAUGCAGGAUUGGCAGGAGCUGCGAUGCUCACACUUGCCUCGCCGACCGCCAUUUCACAUCCAGCAGAGGAGGCGGGGGCAGCCGCUGAGACGGUUUUUCACAAGGAAAUGACCUCAUUCUUGAUGGCUGCUGCUAACUUAUGGUGAGAUGCUGGGUCCCUGCCCAAUACCACAUGGACAUCCAAUCAAUUUACCCAGGGACAAGUCCACUCAAGAGCAUCAUUUAGAAGAGGGAAAAGGCACUGGGGUUAUUUGUUUUUGGAGUAUGUGCUUAAGGAAAUCUAGAGUAUUCCCACGAGCAUUCUGCUGAGAUGAACAAUCAGAUGACCUCGUGUGAGAUUUGGAGGAGAGAAGGAAAUGGAGAGCAUGCGUCUGCCGCUUCUGUGGUUUCUGUCGGCUUUCUCCAUAUUUACGUGCUUGUAACUCUGGCAUGACCUUUGCUCCAGUCUCUACCAGAGGGCGGUGCCUGGAUUGAAGUGGAAAAGCCCUGUUUUCCAGCCAUGACCCAGGGAGCAAGCACUGACUCCUCAGGGGAACAGGAGACCUGCCAACUAGGACCCUGGGAGCCCCCAUGCUGGCAGUGCCCUGGGUCAUCUCAGGCUCAUCAGCAAAUCCUGGGGGGAGAGCGGGGCUGGAGGGCGAAGAAGCCCAGGAGAGUUCCUGGCUCAGAACCCCUCUCUGAGGCUCCCAAUACAGAGCCCAGGCCCCACACCCAGGGCCUCUGAGUAUUUUUGUUUAUUGUAUGUAAAAUACUAGUGUAUUUUUGUUUAAGUCUCACAGGUAAACAGGUUCUCUCAUACUUUGCCAAGGGAAAUGUGAUCUGUGCAAUUUGGCAAUAACUAUCAGAAUUUUAAAAGCUUAUGCCCUUUGACCUAGUAAUUUCACUUCUAAGAAUUUCCCCUGCAGAGAUAUGUAUAUCUUGUAUGAAAUGAAGAGGCUACGAAGACAGGCAACGCCGCAGUGUUUAUAAUAGCGAAGACCAGACACAACCCACAUGUCUAAAGGUUCUGAUUUUUAAAACUGUAGUAUAUCUGUACAAUGAGCACUCCACAUCCUUUAAGAAUGAGGAAGGGCUGUGUGAACUGAAAUGGAACUAUCUCUAAGAUUUAUUAAGUUAAAAAAAUUCAAGAGUAGCACAGUGUGUAGGGUAUGCCAUCAUUUGUAUGAUAUAAGGUCGUAUAUCUGCCAUCUCAAAUGAGGAACAGUGGUUGCCUCUGGGAAGGGAAUUGGAUGGCUAGGAAUGGGGUAGGAAAGAGGUUUGCUUUUCAGAACAUUUUAUACUAUUUAAGUUUUGUAACAAGUGCAUCUAUUUUGACUUAAAAGAUAAAAAAUGAAAAGGAAAGGCUCCACUAGUGAUUCUGAUGCUCACAAAGAUUAAGAACCAAUGCGAAUGAGGAACUCAUGACACCGCCCAGGAGACAGUGAACAUAUCUCUUCAAAUAUCAAAAACCUUUCAGCAGAGGGUGAGAACAUGUGCCUGGGGUAAGCAUGGGUGGGCAUGAGCUGGGUACAGAGGUGAUUCCCAGGGACAUACAACUACCUUGCCCUCCUGGGAUCAGGUCUUCCUCCCACCUUAGCCUCCCAUAUUGUUGGGACCACAGGCAUGCACCACCACACCUGGUUAAUUUUUUUUUUUUUUUUUUUUUUGUAGCGACAGAGUCUCGCCAUGUUGCCUAGGCUGGUCUCGAACUCCUGGGCUCAGGCAAUCCUUCUGCCUCGUCCUUCCAAAGUGCUGAGAUUACAGGCAUGAGCCACUGCACCCAGCCUGACAGUAGCUUUUAAUCUCUGGACUCUCAUCACCGUUUGGACUGUGAGCUGUGGUUCUAGCUCUUGGAUCUGAUGGGCAUCUUCCCUCAAAUAUGUCAGUUUCUCUCUCCAGGUCCCUUGCUUUGUCUUCCUUUUUGCCUCCUCGGGCCUGAUACCUUUCUCUGGGCUUCUCUACUCUGCCCCGAGCUGCCUAGUUUUGCGAAUAAUGUCACAUCCAGAUGUCAGCAGCCCUGAUGUCCAUGUGACAAUGCUCCCUUGCUGUCCAUGUGACAAUGCUCCCUUGGUGUCCCAGUGACAGAUUUUCCCAUGCUUCACCCUCUCUCUUUUUUAAUUUUUUUUUCUGUACACAGCUCUCAGUCAAGCCCCUUGAGCUGCCUCCAACUGUUUGCUCAUGUCUGUUCCCAGCAAUCUUUUCCUCUUUUAGCACAAUCUUCCUUAACUUACUAGUUUUUUGAAACAGAGCCUAUUAGUCUUCACAGCGCUACCUUUCUGAUCUCAGAGUUCACCAAAAAGCUUUUCCUCCCAUCAUGCCUGCCUCCCUUUCUUCAGGUCCGUUAGAGUCCACCGUGGCCUGUGUGGGAAGCAAGUCUCUCCCAGGGCACACAUGAACAGACUUCAUGCCCACAUCCACAGUGAACAGUGGCUUCUGCCUUCCAGAUGGGCUUACCCUAAAUCAACACAUAUUCCUAGGAUGUGGGAACAUAUGCAAUACUUAAAUGCACAGGCUCUGGGUUCAGACUCCCUAGGGUUAAAUUCUCCCUGUGCCGGCUAGCUGCAUGAUUAGAUUUGUGAUCUUGACAAAGUUACCUAACGUCUCUGGGCCUCACUUUUCUCAUCUGCAAAAUAGGGAAAAUAGCAACACUUCUCCAUAGGGGUGUGGUGAGGAUAAAGAGUAGAUGUAAAUAAAGUGUUGAAUGUAGAGCCUGGCACAUAUCAAGCUCUUAAAAAGCAAUGGCCAUUUUGUUAUUUUUACCGCAACGACAACUGCAGUUAUUAUCUGGCUUCAGAGCUCUCUUUUUAAAAACAGUAUUCCCUGGUUUUACACCCAGGUGCUAAUACUAUUCUAUGAAGCUAAUGUAUAGAGACCAUAUCUUUUUAACAAACGUGUAUAUAUGAGUCAUUUCCGGCACAUUUGAUACACAUCAUCUCGUUUGGUCCUUAAAACAAGCCUAGGCCAUAAGCAGGGUACGUGUUACCACUUUGCCAUUCCUGUUUUACAGAGGCUUAGACACAUUGAGAAGCUUUUCCAUAGUCACUUAACAAGUGAUGGGUGAAGCCAAAUCAAGCCUUUAGAUCUCCAAGCUCUUUCCAUUAAACCAUAUAAAUCACGGGUUGGCAAACUUUUUCUGCAAAGGGGACAGAUAGUAAAUAGUUUAAGCCUUAUGGGCCACAUGCUGUGUCUGUUUCAUAUUCUGCUCCUUUUUUAUUUUUAUUUUUUUUAAGAAAAGACACCCUUUAAACAUAUAAAAACCAUUCUGAGCAACAGGCUGGUGCUAAAAACAGGUCAUGGUAACCAUUGGCUCUAGGGUUGUAGUUUACUGUUGAUAUAGAUUGUACACUGAUAAGCCAAAAUACAAACCUAAUGAAACUGACAUACUUAAGGAACUUUACUCUUUGUUAGCAAUCAUUGUUAAUAUUUAUUGAAUGGUGACUACGUGGGAAAUGCUGUUCCAAGUGUGAUAGAUAUAUUAACUUACUUAAUCCUCACACCCACUCUAAUUUCCUAAGUACUAUUGUCAGACUCAUUUUACAGACAGGAAAAGCAAGGCAUAGAGAAGGUAAGUAACUUUUCCGAGGUCACAUGGCUAUUAAGUAGCAGAGCUGUGAUUCAAAUAUAAGCGGUUUGGCACCAGAUCCUGUGCACUUAACCGCUUGCAUCUCGGUUGGGAGCACUGACUGGUUCAGCUAUUGGGAGGGAAGAAAGGGGAUGGGGAAGCCACAUAACCCCUAGGAGAUUCUGUAAUAAAUAUGCUUCAGAGCCAUUCACCUUGAAGCUGAGGAGGCAUGGAAGCAGGCCACCUGUGUUCUGUACAGCAUCACCAGGCUGGAAAUCUGCCAUGGCUUUCCUUCACGCCAUCACAAGAGGAUACAGAUGAGGCUGCAGAGGCAUCUUGAUUUGAGAAAAGCAUUUGACUGGAUCUCAUUAAAUUUUAAUCAUUAACUGAAUUCAAAAUAAAUUGAAAACUGGUUGACAGAGCACCAACAAAGGGUGAUGAUAAAUGGUGAUGCAUCUAGAGGGGAGCUAUCUUCCAGGGGACAACUCUAAGGCAAGGACGGAUGGGAUUUAAUGAAGGUGUUAUGUCCCCAGAAGAAGACAAAUAGCACAGCAAGGAACAGAGGAAGGACAGGAGUGAGCAGCCUGAGUAAUUAAUAAACCAUAUUAACAGCUCCUCCAUAAUCAGGCCUUGGUGAUCACAACUGCUUGGAUUUUUUCUUAAGCUUUCUUUGAGUCAGGAAUAGGUUUGAAGCGUCCUAGAGACACACAGCAUGAAUAUUUCAGGUGGACAUUAAAAAGAAAUCUAUAAAUUUACAGCUGGGAGGAUCCUGAGAUCUACUUCGGAUCAGAAACUUUCAAUUACAAGAUUCCCAAGGCCUUACUUCAUUCCCCAGAGAGUAAUCUUUUUAAUAAAUGUCCAAAAGUCAUGGAUUUAAAAAAAAAUCUUUAAACUCAUUAAUGUCCUUUGUUUCCUGCCCAAAUGCAUGCAAACUUUCAUAACACUGGUUUGCUGAGUGGAAGGUUGGUUUUGAGUGAACUGUUUGGCUCAGAUUCAAACUCCAAUGAACAAAUACUUCCAAGUUUACUUGCUGAAUUUCCCAUACAGAGAAGUUCUUCCACUGGGCUUGCCAGAGGAUUUGAAACAGUGGUGAGCCCUGGAAGGAAGGGAAUAUUUACUGGCCCUUGGACAUAAACCCAGCACAGUAAGACUCACAUCAGGCUGAAGGCAGUGCAGUAUGAACCGACCUGAUUUGAGGAAGUUUGCUCUGGGACUCCUCUGAGCUACUAAAUGAGGAGGAGAAGGACUAAUGGGAACACACUGACUCCAUCACAUUAGAAGUUAUAAUAAACAUUUAGAGAACAACCUCAA